UGGGGAAUUUUCCGCAAUGGGCGAAAGCCUGACGGAGCAAUGCCGCGUGGAGGUGAAAGGCCUACGGGUCGUCAACUUCUUUUCUCGGAGAAGAAACAAUGACGGUAUCUGAGGAAUAAGCAUCGGCUAACUCUGUGCUAG
RNAcentral lists this ribosomal RNA (141 nucleotides) under uncultured bacterium. RNAcentral describes it as "partial 16S rRNA". It matches the Rfam family "Bacterial small subunit ribosomal RNA", at positions 355 to 511 of the family's 1533-position model. The record is from RNAcentral.